Clupea harengus (Atlantic herring) is the source of this 1238-nucleotide long non-coding RNA. The record is from Ensembl. NCBI's taxonomy places the organism in Eukaryota, Metazoa, Chordata, Actinopteri, Clupeiformes, Clupeidae.
CACACACACACACUCUUCUUACUCCUUUAACUCUCACACACACACACACUCUUCUUACUCCUUUAACUCUCACACUCACACACACUCUUCUUACUCCUUUAACUCUCACACACACACUCUUCUUACUCCUUUAACUCUCACACACACACUCUUCUUACUCCUUUAACUCUCACACACACACACUCUUCUUACUCCUUUAACUCUCACACACACACACACACUCUUCUUACUCCUUUAACUCUCACACACACACUCUUCUUACUCCUUUAACUCUCACACACACACUCUUCUUACUCCUUUAACUCUCACACACACACUCUUCUUACUCCUUUAACUCUCACACACACACUCUUCUUACUCCUUUAACUCUCACUCACACACACUCUUCUUACUCCUUUAACUCUCACACACACACUCUUCUUACUCCUUUAACUCUCACACACACACACACUCUUCUUACUCCUUUAACUCUCACACACACACACACUCUUCUUACUCCUUUAACUCUCACACACACACACACUCUUCUUACUCCUUUAACUCUCACACACACACACACUCUUCUUACUCCUUUAACUCUCACACUCACACACACUCUUCUUACUCCUUUAACUCUCACACACACACUCUUCUUACUCCUUUAACUCUCACACACACACUCUUCUUACUCCUUUAACUCUCACACACACACACUCUUCUUACUCCUUUAACUCUCACACACACACACACACACUCUUCUUACUCCUUUAACUCUCACACACACACACACACUCUUCUUACUCCUUUAACUCUCACACACACACUCUUCUUACUCCUUUAACUCUCACUCACACCCUCCAGCAAAAAAGGCUCAGUUGGACGACCUGGCUCUGAGGUCACCGUCUAGAUUCCUCGCGGUUGAUUGGCUGGCAUGGCCAGUGAGUGGUUUCCAUGGCGACAUCUGGUGGUAUCCAUGGCGACAUCUGGUGGUAUCCAUGGCGACAUCAGGUGGUAUCCAUGGUGACAUCCUCCGGUGUCUCGACUCCACAGAAGUCCAUGAUCACAUUAUCAGACGUCUCUUCCCACGGGGUUACAGCCAAUCAGAAGGCAUUAUCAGACGUCUCUUCCCACAGGGUUACAGCCAAUCAGAAGGCAUUAUCAGACGUCUCUUCCCACGGGGUUACAGCCAAUCAGAAGGCAUUAUCAGACGUCUCCUCCCACGGGGUUACAGCCAAUCAGAAGGCAUUAUCAGACGUCUC